UAUGUAUUACUGCCCUUCUCAUGUAAUAUAACCUACUCAGAAUACAUUGCUUUUCUUUUAUAGGAUUACCGAUUACCUUGGAAGGAGAGUAGUCAUCCUUUGAAAUUAGAGCAAAAUGGUUCUUUAUAAAUUUUAAUACUUGUACAACGAUAAAUAUUUAUUAUGAUUAAUUUUAGUUGCUUGGUUUUGCUUGCUAAUUCCUGUGGGGCAGGUGCUUGGAAUUUUUCAGUAGUGGCCUUCUUUUGCAGGUCAGUUGCAGGGAGUUGAAGAGAGCUGAUCAUGUUGCUUUUCCUCUUAAAGGAUCCAAAAUGAAAGACAAAGCAAAUGAAAGUGUUUGGGCUGGUCUCUCCUAUAGCAUUGAAAUCAAGGAUGCUUACAUUCCACCGUGGAUAAUAUCAAGUAUAUGUGCAACCAUGGGUUCUGAAGGGAGGAGCUUUGAGGCAAGGUCAGUUGCGGGGAGUUGAAGAGAGCUGAUCAUGUUGCUUUUCCUCUUAAAGGAUCCAAAAUGAAAGAUGAAGCAAAUGAAAUCAAGGAUGCUUACAUUCCACCAUGUGCAACCAUGGGUUCUAAAGGGAGGAGCUUUGAGGCAAGGUAUGACAAAUUUUGUCACUGUGCCUGAUUAGCCCUGAUCUCACCACAAAAAGCUGCAGUAAUGGUAGAAGAAUAAAUAUAUGUAACUGGGAGCUUUGGCUUUCAGUUAUUCAUCUUACUGAAAAUCAUGUCAUUAGAUAUUAUUUUACGCACUUGUUCAUGUUUGUUGGCA
Vitis vinifera (wine grape) is the source of this 763-nucleotide long non-coding RNA. RefSeq lists it as uncharacterized. The transcript is spliced from 2 exons. Lineage: Eukaryota; Viridiplantae; Streptophyta; Magnoliopsida; Vitales; Vitaceae. The record is from RefSeq and is a predicted model, not a curated record.